AGUGCCACAGAACUAUCUGGGCCUCUUCCUCUACCCCUCCUUGUGUGAUCGCUCCUUUCAAAAGCAACAGCCAAAGCAGAUGCAAGGGAGAUGCAUUGGUGCUCAUAAAUUCAAGGAGCUGAAAUGGCAACAGCUGUGGCAAUUUCAGGACUUCAGCAGGUAAUCAAAUGGGUCAAAAUCAAAGUUGAUGAUCAGUCAUAUGAUCUUCAGCAGCCCUGGAAGGGUGUGAGUUCUCGGCAUCCCAUGCAGGAGCUCUGAAUGUACAAGAGGUGCUGAGGAGGGAGCAUGCGCCGAAUACCACUGCCUUCUUUCUGUGUCCAAGCAAGUUAUGACUGGAAUGGAAAGUAUAGCCACCCGGGGCUGUCAGUACCCCUACCUACUCAAUUGCAGACAUGUUGAUACAGAACAUGAUCAUCGAAUUCCAGUGAAGCCACAGUGAUGGGAGUCCAGCAUGAGUAAAAGCAAGUAGAAGGAAGAAGCCCAGAAAAACCAAAGCGCCUAAGGCCCAUGAAAGCUGUAAUGACUCCUUACCAUGAAGUUCUCUCUCCUGAUACCAUGUGGAGAAG
RNAcentral lists this long non-coding RNA (566 nucleotides) under Pan troglodytes (chimpanzee). Its description in RNAcentral is "lincRNA". The record is from RNAcentral. Lineage: Eukaryota; Metazoa; Chordata; Mammalia; Primates; Hominidae.